AGACCCGAAACCCGGUGAUCUAGCCAUGGGCAGGUUGAAGGUUGGGUAACACUAACUGGAGGACCGAACCGACUAAUGUUGAAAAAUUAGCGGAUGACCUGUGGCUGGGGGUGAAAGGCCAAUCAAACCGGGAGAUAGCUGGUUCUCCCCGAAAGCUAUUUAGGUAGCGCCUCGUGAAUUCAUCUCCGGGGGUAGAGCACUGUUUCGGCUAGGGGGCCAUCCCGGCUUACCAACCCGAUGCAAACUGCGAAUACCGGAGAAUGUUAUCACGGGAGACACACGGCGGGUGCUAACGUCCGUCGUGAAGAGGGAAACAACCCAGACCGCCAGCUAAGGUCCCAAAGUCAUGGUUAAGUGGGAAACGAUGUGGGAAGGCCCAGACAGCCAGGAUGUUGGCUUAGAAGCAGCCAUCAUUUAAAGAAAGCGUAAUAGCUCACUGGUCGAGUCGGCCUGCGCGGAAGAUGUAACGGGGCUAAACCAUGCACCGAAGCUGCGGCAGCGAACGUAUCACUUAAAGCGAUUCAGCGGGUUACGAUUGACGGAGCGAAGCGACGUCAAAGCGUAUACAAAGUCGAGUCGGUUUAAGGAUACGUUCGUUGGGUAGGGGAGCGUUCUGUAAGCCUGUGAAGGUGUGUCGUGAGGCAUGCUGGAGGUAUCAGAAGUGCGAAUGCUGACAUAAGUAACGAUAAAGCGGGUGAAAAGCCCGCUCGCCGGAAGACCAAGGGUUCCUGUCCAACGUUAAUCGGGGCAGGGUGAGUCGACCCCUAAGGCGAGGCCGAAAGGCGUAGUCGAUGGGAAACGGGUUAAUAUUCCCGUACUUGGUGUUACUGCGAAGGGGGGACGGAGAAGGCUAUGUUGGCCGGGCGACGGUUGUCCCGGUUUAAGCGUGUAGGUGUGUGUUCCAGGUAAAUCCGGUUCACUUUAACACUGAGGCGUGAUGACGAGGCACUACGGUGCUGAAGCAACAAAUGCCCUGCUUCCAGGAAAAGCCUCUAAGCAUCAGGUAACAUCAAAUCGUACCCCAAACCGACACAGGUGGUCAGGUAGAGAAUACCAAGGCGCUUGAGAGAACUCGGGUGAAGGAACUAGGCAAAAUGGUGCCGUAACUUCGGGAGAAGGCACGCUGACAUGUAGGUGAAGUGAUUUACUCAUGGAGCUGAAGUCAGUCGAAGAUACCAGCUGGCUGCAACUGUUUAUUAAAAACACAGCACUGUGCAAACACGAAAGUGGACGUAUACGGUGUGACGCCUGCCCGGUGCCGGAAGGUUAAUUGAUGGGGUCAGCGCAAGCGAAGCUCCUGAUCGAAGCCCCGGUAAACGGCGGCCGUAACUAUAACGGUCCUAAGGUAGCGAAAUUCCUUGUCGGGUAAGUUCCGACCUGCACGAAUGGCGUAAUGAUGGCCAGGCUGUCUCCACCCGAGACUCAGUGAAAUUGAACUCGCUGUGAAGAUGCAGUGUACCCGCGGCAAGACGGAAAGACCCCGUGAACCUUUACUAUAGCUUGACACUGAACAUUGAGCCUUGAUGUGUAGGAUAGGUGGGAGGCUUUGAAGCGUGGACGCCAGUCUGCGUGGAGCCGACCUUGAAAUACCACCCUUUAAUGUUUGAUGUUCUAACGUGGACCCGU
This 1626-nucleotide ribosomal RNA is filed under the name Salmonella enterica subsp. enterica serovar Infantis. RNAcentral describes it as "partial 23S ribosomal RNA". It matches the Rfam family "Bacterial large subunit ribosomal RNA", at positions 711 to 2236 of the family's 2925-position model. The record is from RNAcentral. Lineage: Bacteria; Pseudomonadati; Pseudomonadota; Gammaproteobacteria; Enterobacterales; Enterobacteriaceae. RNAcentral also lists the same sequence under 1 other name.